Molecule: unclassified non-coding RNA, 1934 nt
Filed under: Hevea brasiliensis (rubber tree)
Lineage: Eukaryota; Viridiplantae; Streptophyta; Magnoliopsida; Malpighiales; Euphorbiaceae
Source: RNAcentral
CUUAACAUUAAGCGCUUUUUUCAAUACUAAAAUCACUCCGCGUCAGUGACAGUGAGUCCAAAAUGAGGGUCCCAAUUUCUCUGUCCAACCCCUCAGAGCUGAGUGCCAAAAAGCGGCUGCAAACUGCAAAGCACCUUCGUUUUUCCUUAUAAUUAACAAGGCCACACACUUAUUACUAGACAAAAACUAGUAUAACCUUCUCUUUCUUUCUCUCUUUCUUGCUUCAUUUUCUCAUACUUUCUUGCAUUUUCUCUUCCUGUAAAGAAAAGAAAGGUUCUCGAGACAAAGAAAUACAUAACCAUCUGCUUUCUUUCUUUGUCUUUCUCUCUUUUUUCUUCAUUCUGUGUGCUUUCUCUCUCUAGAUAAAGAAGCAUAGAAUAAAGUGUGCUUAGAGAGAGAAUAAGGGAAGGGGAAAAAAGGCCAUUGUUUUGGGAGGUCAUCGUUCUUGAGGUCAUGAAGAAGCUUGCAAUGUGCAAUAAUGUGUUAGUGGUUUUUUGGUUGUUGGGUUUAUGGGUUUGCUCUGUUAGUGCCUCUGUGUCUUAUGACUCUAAGGCUAUCACCAUUAAUGGCCAGAGAAGGAUCCUCAUUUCUGGAUCCAUUCACUACCCAAGAAGCUCACCUGAGAUGUGGCCAGAUCUUAUACAAAAGGCAAAGGAAGGAGGAUUGGAUGUGAUUCAGACUUAUGUUUUUUGGAAUGGCCAUGAACCUUCGCCUGGAAAAUAUUAUUUCGAGGGGAACUAUGAUUUGAUCAAGUUUGUCAAGCUGGUGAAGCAAGCAGGUCUUUAUCUUCAUCUCAGGAUUGGACCUUAUGUCUGUGCUGAAUGGAACUUUGGGGGUCUCCCUGUUUGGCUCAAGUACAUUCCAGGCAUCAAUUUCAGAACAGAUAAUGGCCCUUUCAAGGCUCAAAUGCAAAAAUUCACUACAAAGAUUGUCAACAUGAUGAAAGCAGAAGGGCUAUUUGAAUCUCAAGGUGGUCCAAUAAUUUUAUCCCAGAUUGAGAAUGAAUAUGGACCCAUGGAAUAUGAACUUGGUGCACCUGGUCAAGCUUACACCAAAUGGGCAGCAAAUAUGGCUGUAGGUCUUGGCACUGGAGUCCCAUGGGUCAUGUGCAAGCAAGAUGAUGCCCCGGAUCCUGUUGUAAGUUAUCAGCAGAUCUAUUUUUCCUUUUAGCAUCAUCUGUUUACAUUUUCUUUUCAUGUUCCAUAUCUAAUUCUUUAUGGUCCUCAUGUUAUGUCUCCCUCACUUCCUUGGUGUGGUUGUUAGUUAACAGGCCCUUUUGUUGGUCAUGGAUGAAAUGAAUUAUUAUUCCUCAUAGCACAUGGCUCUGUUUUGCAGCAUCUCAGUCCCUCCUGUAGCAGAUUGUCUUUUUUUAAUCCUCUCUGGUCAUUGAGGGUUUUUUUGAUGAUAGAAUUGAUGACCAUGUCUCAUUGUUAAUAAUAAUCACCACCCAGUUCAACUCUCAAAGUUAGUGGGUGUUUAUAAAUAAUACUUGUGCCUUUUCUUUUCUUGGAGGAACACGAGAAACAAUGUAUUUUAAAUCCAGCUUUUUGGAAUCAAAUAUUUUCAGUUUAACUUUUUGUAUUUGGGAAUCAUGUGGUCUUAUCAUUGGGUUAUUUUACCAAGUUCUUUCAACUUAUGCUUUGAGUGGCUCCUAACAUUUUAUUAAUAUGCUGCUAUCUCAAUAGAUUAACACCUGCAAUGGUUUCUAUUGUGACUAUUUCUCUCCAAACAAGCCAUACAAACCAAAGAUGUGGACUGAAGCCUGGACUGGCUGGUAUACUGAAUUUGGUGGUGCAGUUCCUUACAGACCAGCUGAAGACUUGGCGUUUUCAGUUGCAAGGUUUAUACAGAAGGGAGGAUCAUUCAUAAAUUACUAUAUGUAUCAUGGGGGAACAAAUUUUGGAAGAACUGCUGGUGGUCCUUUCAUUGCCACA